This 461-nucleotide ribosomal RNA is filed under the name uncultured bacterium. Its description in RNAcentral is "partial 16S ribosomal RNA". It matches the Rfam family "Bacterial small subunit ribosomal RNA", at positions 28 to 506 of the family's 1533-position model. The record is from RNAcentral.
GACGAACGCUGGCGGCGUGCUUAACACAUGCAAGUCGAACGGUGAAGCCCUUCGGGGUGGCUCAGUGGCGAACGGGUGAGUAACACGUGAGCAACCUGCCCCUGGCUCUGGGACAACCACUGGAAACGGUGGCUAAUACCGGAUACGACCCGCCUCGGCAUCGAGUGUGGGUGGAAAGUUUUUCGGCUGGGGAUGGGCUCGCGGCCUAUCAGCUUGUUGGUGAGGUGAAGGCUCACCAAGGCGACGACGGGUAGCCGGCCUGAGAGGGCGACCGGCCACACGGGGACUGGGACACGGCCCAGACUCCUAGGGGGGGAAGCAGUGGGGAAUUUUGCAAAAGGGGCGAAAGCCUGAUGCAGCGACGCCGCGUGGGGGAUGACGGCCUUCGGGUGGUAAACCUCUUUCAGCUCCGAAGAAGCGAAAGUGACGGUAGGAGAAGAAGAAGCACCGGCUAACUACGU